Molecule: ribosomal RNA, 443 nt
Filed under: uncultured bacterium
Lineage: Bacteria
Description: partial 16S ribosomal RNA
Rfam family: Bacterial small subunit ribosomal RNA
Source: RNAcentral
CCUACGGGCGGCAGCAGUGGGGAAUAUUGGGCAAUGGGCGCAAGCCUGACCCAGCAACGCCGCGUGAAGGAAGAAGGCUUUCGGGUUGUAAACUUCUUUUAUCAGGGACGAAGCAAGUGACGGUACCGGAUGAAUAAGCCACGGCUAACUACGUGCCAGCAGCCGCGGUAAUACGUAGGUGGCAAGCGUUAUCCGGAUUUACGGGGUGUAAAGGGCGUGUAGGCGGGAGUGCCAGUCAGAUGUGAAAACCAUGGGCUCCACCCAUAGCCUGCCUUGGAAACUGUACUUCUUGAGUGCUGGAGAGGCCAUCGGCAUUCCGUUUGUUGCGGUGAAAUGCGUUGAUAUUCGGCGGCCCACCAGUGGCGAAGGCGGAUUGCUGGACCGUACCUGACGCUGAGGCGCGAACGCGUGGGGCGCAAACCGGAUUAGCUACCCGAGUAGUC